CUGUGGAGAUAUAGUCUGGAGUCUUGCUUUUGGGUCAUCAGUUCCAGAAAAACAGAGUCGCUGUGUAAAUAUAGAAUGGCAUCGCUUCAGAUUUGGACAAGAUCAGCUACUUCUUGCUACAGGGUUGAACAAUGGGCGUAUCAAAAUAUGGGAUGUAUAUACAGGAAAACUCCUCCUUAACUUGGUAGAUCAUACUGAAGUGGUCAGAGAUUUAACUUUUGCUCCAGAUGGAAGCUUGAUCCUGGUGUCAGCUUCAAGAGACAAAACUCUCAGAGUAUGGGACCUGAAAGAUGAUGGAAACAUGAUGAAAGUAUUGAGGGGGCAUCAGAAUUGGGUGUACAGCUGUGCAUUCUCUCCUGACUCUUCUAUGCUGUGUUCAGUCGGAGCCAGUAAAGCAGUGGUGGCAGCAAUAUUGGUGUGAUUGAGGUUAUGCUGGCACCACUCGCACACAGGCGCACAAUGGUGUUAGCUGGGCAGAAAGAGUGGCAUCUCUGGCUACCGGGCUGGGGGCGACCUUUACCAUAGGAUGAAGUAACCUUGCAUUCGGCUGCAAGGUGUACUGUACGUACACAGGUUUUCCUUUGGAAUAUGGAUAAAUACACCAUGAUACGGAAACUAGAAGGACAUCACCAUGAUGUGGUAGCUUGUGACUUUUCUCCUGAUGGAGCAUUACUGGCUACUGCAUCUUAUGAUACUCGAGUAUAUAUCUGGGAUCCACAUAAUGGAGACAUUCUGAUGGAAUUUGGGCACCUGUUUCCCCCACCUACUCCAAUAUUUGCUGGAGGAGCAAAUGACCGGUGGGUACGAUCUGUAUCUUUUAGCCAUGAUGGACUGCAUGUUGCAAGCCUUGCUGAUGAUAAAAUGGUGAGGUUCUGGAGAAUUGAUGAGGAUUAUCCAGUGCAAGUUGCACCUUUGAGCAAUGGUCUUUGCUGUGCCUUCUCUACUGAUGGCAGUGUUUUAGCUGCUGGGACACAUGACGGAAGUGUGUAUUUUUGGGCCACUCCACGGCAGGUCCCUAGCCUGCAACAUUUAUGUCGCAUGUCAAUCCGAAGAGUGAUGCCCACCCAAGAAGUUCAGGAGCUGCCGAUUCCUUCCAAGCUUUUGGAGUUUCUCUCGUAUCGUAUUUAGAAGAUUCUGCCUUCCCUAGUAGUAGGGACUGACAGAAUACACUUAACACAAACCUCAAGCUUUACUGACUUCAAUUAUCUGUUUUUAAAGACGUAGAAGAUUUAUUUAAUUUGAUAUGUUCUUGUACUGCAUUUUGAUCAGUUGAGCUUUUAAAAUAUUAUUUAUAGACAAUAGAAGUAUUUCUGAACAUAUCAAAUAUAAAUUUUUUUAAAGAUCUAACUGUGAAAACAUACAUACCUGUACAUAUUUAGAUAUAAGCUGCUAUAUGUUGAAUGGACCCUUUUGCUUUUCUGAUUUUUAGUUCUGACAUGUAUAUAUUGCUUCAGUAGAGCCACAAUAUGUAUCUUUGCUGUAAAGUGCAAGGAAAUUUUAAAUUCUGGGACACUGAGUUAGAUGGUAAAUACUGACUUACGAAAGUUGAAUUGGGUGAGGCGGGCAAAUCACCUGAGGUCAGCAGUUUGAGACUAGCCUGGCAAACAUGAUGAAACCCUGUCUCU
This 1625-nucleotide long non-coding RNA is filed under the name Homo sapiens (human). Its description in RNAcentral is "long non-coding RNA NONHSAT175031.1". Lineage: Eukaryota; Metazoa; Chordata; Mammalia; Primates; Hominidae. The record is from RNAcentral.